Molecule: ribosomal RNA, 255 nt
Filed under: Haemophilus influenzae
Lineage: Bacteria; Pseudomonadati; Pseudomonadota; Gammaproteobacteria; Pasteurellales; Pasteurellaceae
Description: partial 16S ribosomal RNA
Rfam family: Bacterial small subunit ribosomal RNA
Source: RNAcentral
AAAUACAGAAGAAGCACCGGCUAACUCCGUGCCAGCAGCCGCGGUAAUACGGAGGGUGCGAGCGUUAAUCGGAAUAACUGGGCGUAAAGGGCACGCAGGCGGUUAUUUAAGUGAGGUGUGAAAGCCCCGGGCUUAACCUGGGAAUUGCAUUUCAGACUGGGUAACUAGAGUACUUUAGGGAGGGGUAGAAUUCCACGUGUAGCGGUGAAAUGCGUAGAGAUGUGGAGGAAUACCGAAGGCGAAGGCAGCCCCUUG